Molecule: RNA transcript, 1167 nt
Organism: Meriones unguiculatus (Mongolian gerbil)
Lineage: Eukaryota; Metazoa; Chordata; Mammalia; Rodentia; Muridae
Exons: 5
Source: RefSeq, a predicted model, not a curated record
CGGCCACCUCCUGUCCUAUUCCUACCCUGGGCCAACAGCCCCAGGACACUCCUACCUGCCUGGCCAGCAACUCUCAGCCGCGCCUUCCUCAGCCCCGCCACUGGCCGGCCGAACACCCGCAGGAACUCGAAGCAGUUUCGUAAAGCCGGGCAGGAGGGCUCCCCACCCCACCCCCUGGGGCAGUGGAGGAGUGUGUGUGCGCGCCUGUGUGUAACGGAAAACUGCCAUAAUCCAGAUGGAGGGGUUGAGACCCAGCUUUUCCUCAUCUUUCACUCCUUUCCUCCAUAUCACCCUUCUUGUCUCAGAAACCAGUAGGCAAGACAAACUCUGCUAAACAGAAAUCAGUUCCCGGCUUGAGAUAUGCUAAUAUACACUGGGGAAGUAGGAGCAGGAGGAUCCUGAGUUUGAGGCCCCGCCUGGGCACCCUAUUAUAUAUGAGAACCCGGUGCUGGUGCUGUCUCCAGGGUCCUCCCAGUAGCCCCUGACCAGGAAGCUGCGCAAGCCUAGAACCAUCUACUCCAGCCUGCAGCUGUAACACCCAAACCACCAGCCGUUUCCAGCACAUGCACUACCUGGCACUACCUGAGCCCUGCCAAGAGAGCUUAGCUGGCAGCGCAGCUUGGACUCAUCCAAACCCAGACAGGAACGAUGAUAGCAUUUGCUCCGCCAUACGGUUGUGAUGAUGAAAUGAGAAAGUGCUCGUAACAGCUUUGACACACAGGGUGCCCGGAACGCAGUAAGCGCUUUAUAAAAUGACAUUCGCAUCUGCUGCUGUGGUGACAGGAGGGCACAGCUCGUCCUGAGGGUGAGUAGUUCCUGUAGCCAUCGAUUCACCUCCUGCCUAAGCCCAGAAACCUGGCUCCCCAGGCUAGGGAGGAAGGAAGGGGCUGGAGAAACAACCCAGCACAUUGAAGCCAGCACUGUCGGAGAGCAGAAUGUGGGCAAGGUCCCCGGCUCAAAGUGGGCACUGACCAUCUGAAGUCAGCUGAGGCUGCAGAAAGAGCGGCGUGUCCAGGGGUCUCGGCCACAGGAAAGCAGCCUCCUUCUGGGGAGCUCACUGCACCCCCCAUCCCAGUCCCAUACUCCUCUGUACUAUUUUAAGGUAUGCCCCCCAUUCUCUCCCCAAACCAAAUGAGAUUCAAUUAAUUCAAUUAAAGCAAUUUUGGA